UCUUAUUUCUAGAAUAAGAAAUGAAAAACUUGCCAGAUCCUUGGGAGGAGGAGGAUGUGGGUGGAGUGCAUUUUAAGGCCUCCCUUGAAGAAACUGCAAAGCUAUCAGAAAUUGGAGCCAAAUUCCAGGGCACUCGGUGUCUAACAAGAACUUCAGCAUCUGAAACAGUCACUCUGUCCUAGAACUCAUCACACUCAGUCUGUAGGAAUGCAUGAUUCAGAGGCUGCCAAUGCCGACCUGUCUUUGCCGUGCUCAAAAUUAAGGUGGACUGGGGCUGGAGAGAAGGCUCAGCGGUUAAGAGCACCCGACUGCUCUUCCAGAGGUCCUGAGUUCAAUUCCCAGCAACCACAUGGUGGCUCACAACCAUCUGUAAAGAGAUCCAAUGUCCUCUUCUGGUGUAUCUGAUGACAGCUACAGUGUACUUAUAUAUAAUAAAUGAAUAAAUCUUUAAAAAAAGGGUUGGGGAUUUAGCUCAGUGGCAGAGCGCUUGCCUAGCAAAUGCAAGGCCCUGGGUUCGGUCCCCAGCUCCGAAAAAAAGAAAAAGAAAAAAAAAAUUCUAAAAAUUAAGGUGGAUUACUUUACCCACUGCAAGACUGUAGUAGUCCUUCAGAAUAAAAUUUACCAUUUUUUAAAACAAGUGUUGGAAGAUUUUAUUUUAAGAAUCCUUAACAAAUCCAAUCCAGGUUACCACAAAAGACCAACUUAAGUAAGGGCCGGCCAGAAAGGACAUUACAGCUAAGCAAAAGCUUUUUACCGCUUAGCACCUUCCAUUCUUAGCU
Rattus norvegicus (Norway rat) is the source of this 779-nucleotide long non-coding RNA. RefSeq lists it as uncharacterized. Lineage: Eukaryota; Metazoa; Chordata; Mammalia; Rodentia; Muridae. The record is from RefSeq and is a predicted model, not a curated record.